RNAcentral lists this ribosomal RNA (297 nucleotides) under Escherichia coli. RNAcentral's name for it is "partial 16S ribosomal RNA". It matches the Rfam family "Bacterial small subunit ribosomal RNA", at positions 1 to 294 of the family's 1533-position model. Lineage: Bacteria; Pseudomonadati; Pseudomonadota; Gammaproteobacteria; Enterobacterales; Enterobacteriaceae. RNAcentral also lists the same sequence under 1 other name. The record is from RNAcentral.
AAAUUGAAGAGUUUGAUCAUGGCUCAGAUUGAACGCUGGCGGCAGGCCUAACACAUGCAAGUCGAACGGUAACAGGAAGCAGCUUGCUGCUUCGCUGACGAGUGGCGGACGGGUGAGUAAUGUCUGGGAAACUGCCUGAUGGAGGGGGAUAACUACUGGAAACGGUAGCUAAUACCGCAUAACGUCGCAAGACCAAAGAGGGGGACCUUCGGGCCUCUUGCCAUCGGAUGUGCCCAGAUGGGAUUAGCUUGUUGGUGGGGUAACGGCUCACCAAGGCGACGAUCCCUAGCUGGUCUG